Long non-coding RNA from Octopus bimaculoides (California two-spot octopus), 1060 nucleotides. The record is from RefSeq and is a predicted model, not a curated record. NCBI's taxonomy places the organism in Eukaryota, Metazoa, Mollusca, Cephalopoda, Octopoda, Octopodidae.
GUUAAGUCAAUUAAAUUGACCCCCAGUGCUCAACAGGUACAUAUUCCAUUGACCCUGGGGAAUGAAAGGCAAAGUUGACCUUGGUGGAAUUUGAACUCAGAAUCUAAAGACAAAUGGGAUGCCACUAAGAAUCUUGUGCAGCAUGCUAAUGAUUCUGCUAGCUCACCACCCAUCUCCAGAAAUAUGAAAAAUAAUAUACACUGCUACAUGUUUACCCUACAUGGAAAUAUAUAGAUUAUUUUCUUGUACGACUGGUCACCUUACAUCGUCUGAUUAAGAAAGCCCUACAACAUAACCACAUACACAUACACAAAACACCCACGUAUUUAGGUAUAGAUAGCUGUCAACAAACAUAUUCUGUACGUAUGUGUGCUGUGUGUUGUGACUGAGUGUCUGUGUCUACAUAUAUACAUAAAUGCAUACAUUUGUGUGUGUGUGUGUGUGUGUGUGAAUGUACCGAUGUAACUCAAGACAUAUGCACACACACCUACCUACAUCUAUGUAUAUAUAUUUACAUUAAGAUGUGUGGAGCUUAAUGCAGUCCAUGUCAGCAUGGACGACAGAUUUUAAAUGAUGAUGUAGAUCAUUCUAAAUGGACACGCACACACACACACACACAGUGUCUUUGAAACAGAGUGAUCCUCUCACAAUAAUUUAAUCCUGUAACAGAAUCAAUAGCUGAUGGUGAAUCCUUUCUAUAAUCAAGAGCCCCAACCCUAACCCAACUCAGAAACCUGUCCCUGCUCUGGAAUAGAUGGAUGCAUGGCUGGAUUGAUGGACAGAGUGAGAGUCAAGAAGACAAACAGACAGACAGACAGACAGAGAGAUGUUAUUUCUAAAGAAAUCCACGACUGAACAACACCUCCUAAUUUAUCUGUGCCAGUUAGAGUAUAUUUCACUGUUUUAUAAUGUUCUGUUGCACUGAGUGUUUGUUAUGAAAUCAUUAAAAAGAAACUAGUAAUGUUAGAUGUGUUUGUGUGUGUAUGCACAGAUCGAUAAAGAAAUUCAUACGACUCACUCACGCAUGCAUGCACGCACACACACACACACACACACACAC